UGGUGAGAUAUAUCAACCUAAAAACAAUUAUGUAUUCAAUAUAAUCUAUACCACUUUUGUCAUAAAAAAUAAAAUUAUUUGUUGAUAGGUCUAAAUGCCAUAAGAAACAAGGCUAAAAUUCUAACACCGACUAUAUAUUUUAGUGAUUCUAAAUGCUACCAAAACUUAUUUGUUGGCAUCCAAUUCAAUUUUUGUGCCGCUCUUACAUGCUGACCAAAAGCCUGAAGUAGUAGCUAAAAAUGCUGGUUAAAAUAUGUUGAAUUUGAUUAGAUGAACAUUAUAAUAGCAUUUUGGCCAGUAUUUAUAAGUGUCAUUAGAUGCGGCCAUGGCACUCUUGUAUGCUAAGAAAGCUCAACAAAAAUGUGACAUCGAACCAUAUUUUUAUGGGUAUUUUAUGAAAAUGCCAGAAUACAAUUCUCAACAAAAAUUUAACAGGUAUUUCUACAAUAUUUGGUAAAAAUAGUGGUUUUGGAAUAUCUGACAUAUUUGCACUUUAUGCUAUUUUUUAAAA
This 511-nucleotide long non-coding RNA is filed under the name Phoenix dactylifera (date palm). RNAcentral's name for it is "long non-coding RNA (PDAC_LNC006393)". Lineage: Eukaryota; Viridiplantae; Streptophyta; Magnoliopsida; Arecales; Arecaceae. The record is from RNAcentral.